UCCAGCAGAGGGAGCUGUCAUACACCUUAAUUAUACAGGAAUGUCUGUAUUUACAUUUUUAAAUGUUCAUGGGCUGCUCUAGUUUGUCUGCAAAUAACUCUGCCUCCAGCAACAGGAUUGGUCGAAACAUAUGAAGUGAAAGAAAUAAAAGCCCAGUUCACCAGAUCUGAGGUCAGCUGCGGUCAGAUUUUGGAUCAUGAAUGUAUUGAGUGAACGACGUCUGAGCUAAAUAUUAACCACCUGGAACGGCCGAAUCUCAUUCCUUUGCUCCAAGGAAAAUCUCAGCCCUACCCCUCGCUGUUGCGCGUUCACGCGCCGUGGAGCCAUGUCCCAAUACCAGUUUAAAGGUAGCUUAAGGGGGAGGGCUAACAUCCCCUCAAAAUUUAGAUUUUCGAUGGGCACACUCAAAGCGCUUCAGUUCUGACUUGCUCCCACAAUACCUUGCGAGAAAACGGAAAAUCAAGAAAUAUCCUAGACAAGAUGGAGGGCGAAAAGAUGCGACAGGAUUGGAAAAACACAAAUGACUUCGUUGAGUCCACUGCCACCAGCCCCCCCCACCUCUCCCUCAUGCUCCUCCACCCCAGGCACCUCUUCCACCACCCCAGACACCCCUUCCACGAGGAGAGUGCCAGGGAGCAGGUGAGGCAUGGGGAGAGCGAGGCAAAGUUGGCGGAAUGGUGGAGAAGAUGUGAUUCUCCACCAUUCUCUCAAAAGCUGAGAGUGUGUGUGUGUGUGUGUGUGUGUGUAUUUUUAGGUGUGCGUGUGUGUGUAUUUUUAGAUGCGUGUGUAUGUAUUUUUAGAUGUGUGGUUCAGUGUUUCUUAUUUAAAUAAAGUGUUUCUUCUAAAGUGUUCUUGUUCUUAACCGAUUAUUAUCUAAUACCACCUUUAA
This is a long non-coding RNA of Gadus macrocephalus (Pacific cod), 889 nucleotides long. RefSeq lists it as uncharacterized. The record is from RefSeq and is a predicted model, not a curated record. The transcript has 2 exons. Lineage: Eukaryota; Metazoa; Chordata; Actinopteri; Gadiformes; Gadidae.